UACGUAGGUGGCAAGCGUUGUCCGGAAUUAUUGGGCGUAAAGCGCGCGCAGGCGGUCCUUUAAGUCUGAUGUGAAAGCCCACGGCUCAACCGUGGAAGGUCAUUGGAAACUGGAGGACUUGAGUACAGAAGAGGAAAGCGGAAUUCCACGUGUAGCGGUGAAAUGCGUAGAGAUGUGGAGGAACACCAGUGGCGAAGGCGGCUUUCUGGUCUGUAACUGACGCUGAGGCGCGAAAGCGUGGGGAGCGAACAGG
RNAcentral lists this ribosomal RNA (253 nucleotides) under uncultured bacterium. Its description in RNAcentral is "partial 16S ribosomal RNA". It matches the Rfam family "Bacterial small subunit ribosomal RNA", at positions 524 to 776 of the family's 1533-position model. The record is from RNAcentral.